AAUCCAUAGGUUAAUGAGGCGAACCGGGGGAACUGAAACAUCUAAGUACCCCGAGGAAAAGAAAUCAACCGAGAUUCCCCCAGUAGCGGCGAGCGAACGGGGAGGAGCCCAGAGCCUGAAUCAGCAUGUGUGUUAGUGGAAGCGUCUGGAAAGGCGCGCGAUACAGGGUGACAGCCCCGUACACAAAAGCGCAUGUGCUGUGAGCUCGAUGAGUAGGGCGGGACACGUGGUAUCCUGUCUGAAUAUGGGGGGACCAUCCUCCAAGGCUAAAUACUCCUGACUGACCGAUAGUGAACCAGUACCGUGAGGGAAAGGCGAAAAGAACCCCGGCGAGGGGAGUGAAAAAGAACCUGAAACCGUGUACGUACAAGCAGUGGGAGCCCCACCACUAAGCCAGUGGUGGACUCCACAUACGCAUCCUUUGCUGAAGGCAAUGGUUAACGGAGCGAAAGCGACGUUCAACCGCAAAAGAAGCAGAGGGGGCUUAGUGGUGGGGUGACUGCGUACCUUUUGUAUAAUGGGUCAGCGACUUAUAUUCUGUAGCAAGGUUAACCGUAUAGGGGAGCCGCAGGGAAACCGAGUCUUAACCGGGCGUUAAGUUGCAGGGUAUAGACCCGAAACCCGGUGAUCUAGCCAUGGGCAGGUUGAAGGUUGGGUAACACUAACUGGAGGACCGAACCGACUAAUGUUGAAAAAUUAGCGGAUGACCUGUGGCUGGGGGUGAAAGGCCAAUCAAACCGGGAGAUAGCUGGUUCUCCCCGAAAGCUAUUUAGGUAGCGCCUCGUGAACUCAUCUCCGGGGGUAGAGCACUGUUUCGGCUAGGGGGCCAUCCCGGCUUACCAACCCGAUGCAAACUGCGAAUACCGGAGAAUGUUAUCACGGGAGACACACGGCGGGUGCUAACGUCCGUCGUGAAGAGGGAAACAACCCAGACCGCCAGCUAAGGUCCCAAAGUCAUGGUUAAGUGGGAAACGAUGUGGGAAGGCCCAGACAGCCAGGAUGUUGGCUUAGAAGCAGCCAUCAUUUAAAGAAAGCGUAAUAGCUCACUGGUCGAGUCGGCCUGCGCGGAAGAUGUAACGGGGCUAAACCAU
Molecule: ribosomal RNA, 1091 nt
Filed under: Salmonella enterica subsp. enterica serovar Cannstatt
Lineage: Bacteria; Pseudomonadati; Pseudomonadota; Gammaproteobacteria; Enterobacterales; Enterobacteriaceae
Description: partial 23S ribosomal RNA
Rfam family: Bacterial large subunit ribosomal RNA
Source: RNAcentral